GAUAAAAUACGUUGAUAACAUGGUGGUGUUAUUUGCUUGUACGAUGUUUAUGUACUUUGAGAAAAGGUUGUGCGGUGUUGUUAAGAGGAUUCAUUUUAGUCCAUUAUACUCGGAAACGUCCACAGAAUCGUCAUGUUUGGACGCUUCAUAA
Molecule: long non-coding RNA, 151 nt
Organism: Vigna angularis (adzuki bean)
Lineage: Eukaryota; Viridiplantae; Streptophyta; Magnoliopsida; Fabales; Fabaceae
Exons: 3
Source: RefSeq, a predicted model, not a curated record